AGAGUUUGAUCAUGGCUCAGAACGAACGCUGGCGGCAGGCUUAACACGUGCAAGUCGAGCGCCCCGCAAGGGGAGCGGCGGACGGGUGAGUAACGCGUGGGAACGUGCCCUUUGCUACGGAAUAGCCUCGGGAAACUGGGAGUAAUACCGUAUGUGCCCUUCGGGGGAAAGAUUUAUCGGCAAAGGAUCGGCCCGCGUUGGAUAGGUAGUUGGUGGGGUAAUGGCCUACCAAGCCGACGAUCCAUAGCUGGUUUGAGAGGAUGAUCAGCCACACUGGGACUGAGACACGGCCCAGACUCCUACGGGAGGCAGCAGUGGGGAAUCUUAGACAAUGGGGGCAACCCUGAUCUAGCCAUGCCGCGUGAGUGAUGAAGGCCUUAGGGUUGUAAAGCUCUUUCAGCUGGGAGGAUAAUGACGGUACCAGCAGAAGAAGUCCCGGCUAACUCCGUGCCAGCAGCCGCGGUAAU
Molecule: ribosomal RNA, 467 nt
Filed under: uncultured bacterium
Lineage: Bacteria
Description: bacterial SSU rRNA
Rfam family: Bacterial small subunit ribosomal RNA
Source: RNAcentral